RNAcentral lists this ribosomal RNA (433 nucleotides) under uncultured bacterium. Its description in RNAcentral is "partial 16S ribosomal RNA". It matches the Rfam family "Bacterial small subunit ribosomal RNA", at positions 29 to 507 of the family's 1533-position model. The record is from RNAcentral.
AACGAACGCUGGCGGCAUGCCUAACACAUGCAAGUCGAACGAGACCUUCGGGUCUAGUGGCGCACGGGUGCGUAACGCGUGGGAACCUGCCCUUAGGUUCGGAAUAACUCCCCGAAAGGGGUGCUAAUACCGGAUAAUGUCUUCGGACCAAAGAUUUAUCGCCUUUGGAUGGGCCCGCGUUGGAUUAGCUAGUUGGUAGGGUAAAAGCCUACCAAGGCGACGAUCCAUAGCUGGUCUGAGAGGAUGAUCAGCCACACUGGGACUGAGACACGGCCCAGACUCCUACGGGAGGCAGCAGUGGGGAAUAUUGGACAAUGGGCGAAAGCCUGAUCCAGCAAUGCCGCGUGAGUGAUGAAGGCCUUAGGGUUGUAAAGCUCUUUUACCCGGGAUGAUAAUGACAGUACCGGGACAAUAAGCUCCGGCUAACUCCGUG